AUGCUUCUUGAGGAUGAUGGCAAAAUUGAUCCAGUGUGCUUUUUGGACUUCGUUAAGAAGCAAUUUGAUGUGAUAGCAGUAGCUCUGAAAAGAUGCAUCAUGAAUUUGUGGGUUCACCUUCCUAGGAGGUGCUUUUCUCGUGACAGUGCCAUAAAUAUAUCUACAUUGCUUCAUAUGCUGGAAAUUUUGGUGCUCUUCUGUGCAACGUAG
Molecule: ribosomal RNA, 210 nt
Filed under: Triticum aestivum (bread wheat)
Lineage: Eukaryota; Viridiplantae; Streptophyta; Magnoliopsida; Poales; Poaceae
Description: partial small subunit ribosomal RNA
Source: RNAcentral